Molecule: long non-coding RNA, 261 nt
Filed under: Notechis scutatus (mainland tiger snake)
Lineage: Eukaryota; Metazoa; Chordata; Lepidosauria; Squamata; Elapidae
Description: lncRNA (ENSNSUG00000016770.1)
Source: RNAcentral
GAAAAUAGUCCAUAUAUCAGUCUUUUUUUAAACUCUAGGGAGAUGAGGGCAUCAUUGGACUCCCGGGCUUGCCAGGUGAAAAGGGAUAUCCUGGCUUACCAGGAUUAGAUGGUCGCCCUGGAUUAGAAGGUUUCCCAGGACCACAAGGACAAAAGGGUGAAGAAGGAGGGCCAGGGUCUAAAGGUGAAAAGGGUCAAGAUGGAAUAGGACUUCCUGGCCCUCCUGGACCCCCAGGACCAGCCGUGUACCUGUCUAGUGAAG